Molecule: small nucleolar RNA, 126 nt
Organism: Mastomys coucha (southern multimammate mouse)
Lineage: Eukaryota; Metazoa; Chordata; Mammalia; Rodentia; Muridae
Source: RefSeq, a predicted model, not a curated record
AUUGAGGUCUACCUCGAUGGGGCUUCUCCAGUAGCCACACAGUGGAAAUGCCUCACAUGGUGACUUGUGGUUUUGCUUGACUCAGAACUGUUUAGUGGGUCUGUCAGCUGGAACUGCAAGACAGCU